AUUCGAGUGGCGAACGGGUGAGUAACACGUGGGUGAUCUGCCCUGCACUUCGGGAUAAGCUUGGGAAACUGGGUCUAAUACCGGAUAGGAGCCAUCUUUAGUGUGGUGGUUGGAAAGUUUUUCGGUGUAGGAUGAGCUCGCGGCCUAUCAGCUUGUUGGUGGGGUAAUGGCCUACCAAGGCGGCGACGGGUAGCCGGCCUGAGAGGGUGUACGGCCACAUUGGGACUGAGAUACGGCCCAG
This 241-nucleotide ribosomal RNA is filed under the name uncultured Actinomycetales bacterium. RNAcentral describes it as "partial 16S ribosomal RNA". It matches the Rfam family "Bacterial small subunit ribosomal RNA", at positions 89 to 334 of the family's 1533-position model. The record is from RNAcentral. Lineage: Bacteria; Bacillati; Actinomycetota; Actinomycetes; Actinomycetales.